Molecule: non-coding RNA, 100 nt
Organism: Podarcis lilfordi (Lilford's wall lizard)
Lineage: Eukaryota; Metazoa; Chordata; Lepidosauria; Squamata; Lacertidae
Source: the annotation of a GenBank genome assembly
GGUAGGGUGGUGCAGUGGUUAGAGCACUGGGCUAGAACCCUGGUGACCAGGGUUCAAAUUAGCCAUAAAGCUCACCGGGUGAGUGACCCUGCCCGAGUCU